GGGGUCCACGUGUCCAGGAUCCAGUCUCUGAGUCUGGACAGUCUGGGGACGUCGGACCUGCUGUUGGCGAGGAACGUUGGAAACUCUGGCUUUAAUGAAAUCCUGGAGGCCAACCUGCUGAGUCCAUCUCUGAAACCCUCCCAACACAGUCACAUGUUGGAGCGUAAAGACUUCAUCCUGUCCAAGUAUCAGAACGUUCAG
Long non-coding RNA from Sphaeramia orbicularis (orbiculate cardinalfish), 201 nucleotides. RefSeq lists it as uncharacterized. NCBI's taxonomy places the organism in Eukaryota, Metazoa, Chordata, Actinopteri, Kurtiformes, Apogonidae. The transcript has 3 exons. The record is from RefSeq and is a predicted model, not a curated record.